Molecule: long non-coding RNA, 1393 nt
Filed under: Callithrix jacchus (white-tufted-ear marmoset)
Lineage: Eukaryota; Metazoa; Chordata; Mammalia; Primates; Cebidae
Description: lncRNA (ENSCJAG00000077248.1)
Source: RNAcentral
CAAGUAGCUGGGAUUACAGAUUCGUGCUACCACACCUGGCUCAUAUUUGUAUUUUUAGUAGAGAUGGGAUUUCACCAUGUUGGCCAGGCUGGUCUUGAACUCCUGACCUCAAGUGAUCCGCCUGCCUCGGACUCUCAAAGUGCUGAGAUUGCAGGUGUGAGCCACCAUGCCUGGGCUAACAGCUUUAUUUGAAAUACCUCAAACCUGAGAACAACUCAAAGGUUAAUCAACAGAUUAAUGGACAAACAAAUUGUGGUACAUCCAGACAACGAACUACUGCUUAACAAUCACAAUAACAACAACAACAAAAUGAAAUAUUGAGAUACAUAAAAACAUAGAUGAAUCUCAAAAUAAUUACGUUAAGUGCAAAAAGCCAGCUCCUCCAUGUAUAUACUGUAUGACUUCAUUUAUAUAAAAUUCUAGAAUAUGUAAGGUAAUCUAUAAUGAGAGAAAUAAGAUGCUGGCUACCUGAGGAUGGAGUUGGGGAGGAAGGAAAAAGAGGAAGGGAUUUCCAAGGGUGCUGAAUGUUAGGCUGAAACCUUAUCCCCAGUGCAUUAAUAUGAAGAGGUGCGGUCUCUGGGAGGGGAUUAGGUAGUGAGGGCUCUGUCCUCAUGUAGGGAUGAGUGCCCUUAUAAAAGAGGCCCAAAGGAGCUUCUGCCAUGUGAGGACACUGCAAAAAGGUGUCAUGUAUGAAGCAGGGAGCCCUCACCAGACACCAAAUCUGCUGGUGUCUUGAUUUUGGACUUCCCAGCCUCUGGAACUAUUAUUUCGGUAUGUCGUGCUGCUACUGCUCCUUGAAGCAUUUGGGUGGCAUUUUGUUUGCAGUUAGAACACCUACACCCAGAGAUUCUGCCUGUCCUCUUUGCAGCCCUUCUGUUGUGGAAAACACCUCUUCUCUGGAGCACAGUACAGCAGCUAGGACGGCGCAACAGGGAGUUCCAUGGAGAUUCUGGAAAGGGAUAUGGUGGACUAGGAACGGCCUGUUCCUGAAACCAGGUAAACCAGGGCUUUACUCCACGUCGGGUCCCAGAAUCGGGUGUAAAGACAGGGAAAGUGAUUCUGCGUGAGCCUUCUGGAGUCAGGGUUCCCGGAGUGUGUCCCCGGAAGGGGAGAGGAGCCCGAACCCGCCCUGCUGCUCUUUGGAAGGGAGCCCUGCCAUUUCCUUAGGCCGUGGCCUCCCUCCCUGGAAAGGGUGACACCCACCGGUUCCUGGUACCCGCAGGCUGCUUGCGGGGCGCCCCCAGCACCCCUCCCCGCCAGGAGCGCUCCCUGACACUCUCACGCCUUUUUACUUGUAUCGGGGUAAGACAUGGCACAGAAAAGUCCCCCUUUAUCCAGUCUGCGGUGCACGUUGUGAACAUCACAGCAAGGAACACAUGAGUUUUAAGUCAGA